CCUGCUGUGCGACCAGUAGUAGCUUAGGAGGACAUGCGUCACUGGUAACGGUGGACCCUGGCAAGUAAACCUGCUCGCGGGAGCUGCAACGCUCCCGUGAGGGGGCGCUGUUCUCUGCCAGCAUCAGGCGGAGGUGGUA
Molecule: non-coding RNA, 139 nt
Organism: Candidatus Burkholderia brachyanthoides
Lineage: Bacteria; Pseudomonadati; Pseudomonadota; Betaproteobacteria; Burkholderiales; Burkholderiaceae
Source: Rfam